Halichondria panicea is the source of this 909-nucleotide long non-coding RNA. RefSeq lists it as uncharacterized. NCBI's taxonomy places the organism in Eukaryota, Metazoa, Porifera, Demospongiae, Suberitida, Halichondriidae. The transcript has 3 exons. The record is from RefSeq and is a predicted model, not a curated record.
CACACUGCCCAGGCCCUGAUCAAUGUUGAGGGUGGUGAGGUAGGCGAACAAGAUCCCAGUGAAACACGAGUCAUCCCCCACCCGUGUCGACAUCUCAUUUUUUAGCUCCUCUACUGUGUACACCUGGCUGAUGCUGGAAACUAGGUCUGACUCCACAGUCUGAGCAUACUGGUAGAGCUGGUGGGCCUCACCAGAGUCUGAGAGGAGGGAAGACAACACAUAAUAAAGAAAACUCGUGCUCUGUCACUUGAUUAGGGAUUAGCAAUUACUCACGUGCUUUACAAUGGCCAGAAUAUUGAUGUGAGAGCCAUCCAUACUUGGACCAUUGCUAAGGAUGUCUGAGAGGGUGUGGUAGUCGGAGGGUGGUCUCAGAGGUACGUGAGCCAGGGCUGUGAACUCUGUGUAAUCCCAGCCACUGUACAGGGAGAGGUUUGAGUACGUCUCACUGAUGUUCACCUGGUACUGACUGUAUGUGUGCAUGUCAUGUGUUGGGUAUGAGGGAAAGGUGUAGGUGGGUGGUGGGUAUCAUAGUUAUACAUGCCUAGGGGUCCAUGGGCUCCACUUGUCAUUUUGUGGGUCUCCACUCGUAAUUUUGCUGGAUACUUGACAGUUCUGCACCUCGACUGCAAAUAUGAGACACCAUAGCUUGACGAGGGAAAUACAUUGAAAUAGUAGAUUGAAUGUAAUAAUUAUUAGCAGGAACGUUAAAUCUUCAUUUGCUCUGGAUAUUACGGUCUCCUACGUAUACAAUAAUUAUAGGGUUAGUACCGUAUAGCGGGUAUAUUUCGAGGGUAUAAAUGUUCGCGGUUUUCGCGGAUUGAGCCUGUACCGCGAAAAUUUAUACCCACGAAAAUUUAUGAAUAGUAGGCGUGUUCAGUAUUAUUGACCACACCUAUCGACAAUAAGAGG